UUAAAAUGAGAUAGUAAAAUUUAACAUGUAUCAAUGCACUAGAAUCAAUUUGGAUUAUUACUGAAUAAUUAGUGGAUUUGCCAUACACGUCUCAUUGACAGACAAAAAAAAAAUUGGUAAUACUUUAAAAUGAGAUACUAAUAAUUAAUUUCUAACUAAUGAGAUACUAAUAAUCAAUUUCUACAAAAAAUCCAAAUUAAUUUCACUUUUUUUAAUGAGAUUGCACACACAC
This 232-nucleotide long non-coding RNA is filed under the name Salvia miltiorrhiza (redroot sage). Its description in RNAcentral is "long non-coding RNA (SMIL_LNC013671)". The record is from RNAcentral. Lineage: Eukaryota; Viridiplantae; Streptophyta; Magnoliopsida; Lamiales; Lamiaceae.